This 259-nucleotide ribosomal RNA is filed under the name uncultured bacterium. RNAcentral's name for it is "partial 16S ribosomal RNA". It matches the Rfam family "Bacterial small subunit ribosomal RNA", at positions 101 to 353 of the family's 1533-position model. The record is from RNAcentral.
AACGGGUGAGUAACGCGUGAGGAACCUGCCUCAAAGAGGGGGACGAACAGUUGGAAACGACUGCUAAUACCGCAUAAGUCCACGGGUCGGCAUCGACCAGAGGGAAAAGGAGCAAUCCGCUUUGAGAUGGCCUCGCGUCCGAUUAGCUAGUUGGUGAGGUAAUGGCCCACCAAGGCAACGAUCGGUAGCCGGACUGAGAGGUUGAACGGCCACAUUGGGACGGUGAGACACGGCCCAGACUCCUACGGGAGGCAGCAUG